AGUAAAAGUUCUGUGGAGCAACCGUUCAGAAAGGGAGGCAACGUGGGAAAUGGAGGGAGACAUGAAAGAACAGUACCCCGAACUUUUUGAUAAGUAAGCCUGUAAGCUUUCGGUGACAAGUUGAGUCUGGGCAGCAUGGGGUGUAUCUCGUGUGAUCAUGUAACUGCGUGUGGUCUUGGCCAUCUUCCGCUGAAAGUUUUUUUUUAAAUUUAUUAAACUUAUCGAGGAUGUUGUCGUUUAAAUUUUCUAUUACUUUUCCCUAAGUGGUAAUACUUUAUUUUCAACUGGGUACCCAUGUUUUGAAAAGUGUUUUUUUUUUUU
Long non-coding RNA from Cannabis sativa, 321 nucleotides. RefSeq lists it as uncharacterized. The record is from RefSeq and is a predicted model, not a curated record. Lineage: Eukaryota; Viridiplantae; Streptophyta; Magnoliopsida; Rosales; Cannabaceae. The transcript is spliced from 2 exons.